RNAcentral lists this ribosomal RNA (253 nucleotides) under uncultured bacterium. Its description in RNAcentral is "partial 16S ribosomal RNA". It matches the Rfam family "Bacterial small subunit ribosomal RNA", at positions 524 to 776 of the family's 1533-position model. The record is from RNAcentral.
UACGAAGGGGGCUAGCGUUGCUCGGAAUCACUGGGCGUAAAGCGCACGUAGGCGGCUUGUUAAGUCAGGGGUGAAAUCCUGGAGCUCAACUCCAGGACUGCCUUUGAUACUGACGAGCUUGAGUCCGUGAGAGGUGAGUGGAACUGCGAGUGUAGAGGUGAAAUUCGUAGAUAUUCGCAAGAACACCAGUGGCGAAGGCGGCUCACUGGCCCGGUACUGACGCUGAGGUGCGAAAGCGUGGGGAGCAAACAGG